This 394-nucleotide long non-coding RNA is filed under the name Mytilus galloprovincialis (Mediterranean mussel). The record is from RNAcentral. Lineage: Eukaryota; Metazoa; Mollusca; Bivalvia; Mytilida; Mytilidae.
CUUGAUUUUCUUAAGAACUUAUUUAAUUUGUUAUUUACUUUCUCCGUCAUUAUACAUGAUAGUGGUUUGUUGGUGUUUUUGUCGAUCUAUGUUGACCUUAAUCAGUGGUAUUUUAUGAUGAAACAAUAAAUUAUGUUUUAUUUUGUCAUGAUUUACCGUGGGGAAAAUGUCACAUGACGAUCACCUGACUACUGUAGUAUUUAUACAUACAAUUAUAGUACUUGGAAUAAGAACUAGGUGUCGCUCACCUUGGUCUAUGUGCAUAUUAAACAAAGGACACGGAUGGAUUCAUGACAAAAUUGUGUUUUUGUGAUGAUGAUGCGUUUGUAGAUCUUACCUUACUGAGCAUUCUUGCUACUUAUAAUUUUAUCUAUCUGUAUUGAACUUGGCUCUU